This 350-nucleotide long non-coding RNA is filed under the name Ananas comosus (pineapple). Its description in RNAcentral is "long non-coding RNA (ACOM_LNC025316)". The record is from RNAcentral. Lineage: Eukaryota; Viridiplantae; Streptophyta; Magnoliopsida; Poales; Bromeliaceae.
AACUUCCCUUGUGGUUUCGUAGUUUCUCACUUUGCUCCCCUGUGAUUUAAAGUGUAUCAAUUUGCUUCCCUGUGGUUUCAUUUUUAUCUUUUCGGUAGUUUUUUUGUUAAUAUUUUAUUAAAUUAUAUACAAAAAACUUCAGAUACCCAUCUAGAUUUAUCAAAUAUUCACUUUAGUAUUCUUUAAUUUUAACUUUAUCACUGAUUUAAGAAAAAAAAUAAUGAAAUUGAUAAGAAAAAAAAAAAAAAUAAACCACAUGGUGGCAAAUUGAUAUAUUUUUAACCAGAGGGGGGCAAAGUGAGAAACUACGAAACCACAGGGGUUUCUGAAGUUUUCCCCAAAAAAAAAUC